This 440-nucleotide ribosomal RNA is filed under the name uncultured bacterium. Its description in RNAcentral is "partial 16S ribosomal RNA". It matches the Rfam family "Bacterial small subunit ribosomal RNA", at positions 338 to 795 of the family's 1533-position model. The record is from RNAcentral.
CCUACGGGGGGCAGCAGUGGGGAAUAUUGCUCAAUGGGGGAAACCCUGAUGCAGCGACGCCGCGUGAGUGAAUAAGUAUCUCGGUAUGUAAAGCUCUAUUAGCAGGGAAGAAAAUGACGGUACCUGACUAAGAAGCCCCGGCUAACUACGUGCCAGCAGCCGCGGUAAUACGUAGGGCGCAAGCGUUAUCCGGAUUUACUGGGGGGAAAGGGGGCGUAGACGGGAGCACAAGUCUGGAGUGAAAUCCCGGGGCUUAACCCCGGAACUGCUUUGGAAACUGGGCGGCUGGAGUGCAGGAGGGGUAGGCGGAAUUCCUGGUGUAGCGGUGAAAUGCGUAGAUAUUAGGAGGAACACCGAUGGCGAAGGCGGCUUACUGGACUGUAACUGACGUUGAGGCUCGAAAGCGUGGGGAGCAAACAGGAUUAGAUACCCGGGUAGUC